This 433-nucleotide ribosomal RNA is filed under the name uncultured bacterium. Its description in RNAcentral is "partial 16S ribosomal RNA". It matches the Rfam family "Bacterial small subunit ribosomal RNA", at positions 29 to 507 of the family's 1533-position model. The record is from RNAcentral.
AGCGAACGCUGGCGGCAGGCCUAACACAUGCAAGUCGAACGAACUCUUCGGAGUUAGUGGCGGACGGGUGAGUAACACGUGGGAACGUGCCUUUAGGUUCGGAAUAACUCAGGGAAACUUGUGCUAAUACCGAAUGUGCCCUUCGGGGGAAAGAUUUAUCGCCUUUAGAGCGGCCCGCGUCUGAUUAGCUAGUUGGUGAGGUAAAGGCUCACCAAGGCGACGAUCAGUAGCUGGUCUGAGAGGAUGAUCAGCCACAUUGGGACUGAGACACGGCCCAAACUCCUACGGGAGGCAGCAGUGGGGAAUCUUGCGCAAUGGGCGAAAGCCUGACGCAUCCAUGCCGCGUGAAUGAUGAAGGUCUUAGGAUUGUAAAAUUCUUUCACCGGGGACGAUAAUGACGGUACCCGGAGAAGAAGCCCCGGCUAACUUCGUG